This 243-nucleotide long non-coding RNA is filed under the name Elaeis guineensis (African oil palm). Its description in RNAcentral is "long non-coding RNA (EGUI_LNC000625)". Lineage: Eukaryota; Viridiplantae; Streptophyta; Magnoliopsida; Arecales; Arecaceae. The record is from RNAcentral.
UAAAACAUCUACAUUCUAACCUUUUUUGCUGCCAACCAUAGCCAAUUGGGUUACAACACCCAUUCAAAUGACACCUAGGACAUUCCGUAAGCAUGCCCUGUGCUAGCAAAAGUUCAAUAUCACUAGACAGCAUACGUUUUAUGUAAGGAAAUAUUACAUGUUUAUUCUCAGAUAGCAAAUAAGUACAAUUAAUUGGACCUUUUCCAUACCAAAUGUCUUUUCAUUAAAAUAAUUUCUUUGGCA